UGUGUACUGAGUAGGUCAAGGUUCCUGGGAGAAUCAUACCCGACACCCAUACUGGUCCUUUUGAUGUAGACACCCCUCCUCCACUGAUUCUGAGCUUCACUGAACAACUGGAUCACACAAAUGAAGAUCAUUCCUGUUUGGAACCCAGCCUCCAUAUUAACAGUAUACCCAAGCAACCCUUCAUACAGAAAAGCAAACAUGGAAAGGAAACGUGACUACCCGUCAACUCCAGAAGUCAAGCAAACCUUCACAUACAAGAACACAUGGAAAGGAAGCCUGUCCACACCUCAACUCCAGAAAUCAACAGCCCUGCCUGAGUCCCCAGGCAAGAGCCAGGAAACACAUACAUGCGCCAUCUUGGAAACAGACCCUCCCUUCCCCAUGGAGCCAUUGACAAGCCACCUUUGCUGGGCCCCACCCAAAUUGCAGCUUUACUAACAAAAUAAAUAGCUGUGGUUGUU
Mesocricetus auratus (golden hamster) is the source of this 461-nucleotide long non-coding RNA. RefSeq lists it as uncharacterized. Lineage: Eukaryota; Metazoa; Chordata; Mammalia; Rodentia; Cricetidae. The transcript is spliced from 3 exons. The record is from RefSeq and is a predicted model, not a curated record.